RNAcentral lists this non-coding RNA (117 nucleotides) under Nomascus leucogenys (northern white-cheeked gibbon). Lineage: Eukaryota; Metazoa; Chordata; Mammalia; Primates; Hylobatidae. The record is from Rfam by way of RNAcentral.
GCCGGGCGUGGUGGCUCACGCCUGUAAUCCCAGCACUUUGGGAGGCCGAGAUGGGUGGAUCACCUGAGGUCAAGAGUUCGAGAGCAGCCUGGCCAACAUGGCGAAACCCCAUCUCUU